CUUGUUGCAUUAUGCUUAUGAACCAUCCCCCAACAAGAGUUUUAAAUGAAGAAAUCGAUCAAGGACUAUGCGUGUUUUAAUUGCUACGUAUUGAAGGUCGGUAUUUCGUCUCGAUGGAUUUUUUCAAAUAAAGGGUUUAAUUGUACAAAUUUUAAACUAUAGGGGAUAAUACAAAAGUUUAUGGAGCCAGAUCAUUGCUUCAAUGGAAGUACAGGGACCAAAUAUGUUUUUUAACCCAGUCCGAACAAGUUUUAAAAGUUGAAGAUGUUGAUAAUGUCUGUUCUUUAAUGAUUUGUGAUGUCCCACAUUGGUUGGGGAGGAGAACAAAAACACCCGUUAUGAGGGUGUGUAAAUCUUCCCCUAGCAAACGUGUUCUAAAGCCUUGAGGGGAAGCCCGAAAGGGAAAACC
Molecule: long non-coding RNA, 409 nt
Organism: Cucurbita moschata (crookneck pumpkin)
Lineage: Eukaryota; Viridiplantae; Streptophyta; Magnoliopsida; Cucurbitales; Cucurbitaceae
Exons: 2
Source: RefSeq, a predicted model, not a curated record